GAACGGCAGCACAGGUAGCAAUACCGGGUGGCGAGUGGCGGACGGGUGAGGAAUACAUCGGGACCUGCCCAGACGUGGGGGAUAACGUAGGGAAACUUACGCUAAUACCGCAUACGUCCUACGGGAGAAAGCGGGGGAUCGCAAGACCUCGCGCGGUUGGAUGGACCGAUGUUCGAUUAGCUAGUUGGUAGGGUAAUGGCCUACCAAGGCGACGAUCGAUAGCUGGUCUGAGAGGAUGAUCAGCCACACUGGGACUGAGACACGGCCCAGACUCCUACGGGAGGCAGCAGUGGGGAAUAUUGGACAAUGGGCGCAAGCCUGAUCCAGCAAUGCCGCGUGUGUGAAGAAGGCCUUCGGGUUGUAAAGCACUUUUAUCAGGAGCGAAAUACUACCGGCUAAUACCCGGUGGGGCUGACGGUACCUGAGGAAUAAGCACCGGCUAACUUCGUGCCAGCAGCCGCGGUAAU
This 467-nucleotide ribosomal RNA is filed under the name uncultured bacterium. RNAcentral's name for it is "bacterial SSU rRNA". It matches the Rfam family "Bacterial small subunit ribosomal RNA", at positions 64 to 524 of the family's 1533-position model. The record is from RNAcentral.